CCUGCCCCUAGGGGUGUUGCAGGUGUGGCAGCUGUGUCACAUCACAUCAGCAGGUGGCAGAGAGGAGAAAGGCUAUGGCUAAGUUGAGUGUUCUGACCUGUGAAUGGCUGAGUGGUUAAUAGCCUAACAUU
Acomys russatus (golden spiny mouse) is the source of this 131-nucleotide small nucleolar RNA. RefSeq annotates it as small nucleolar RNA SNORA17. NCBI's taxonomy places the organism in Eukaryota, Metazoa, Chordata, Mammalia, Rodentia, Muridae. The transcript has a single exon. The record is from RefSeq and is a predicted model, not a curated record.